This 524-nucleotide ribosomal RNA is filed under the name uncultured bacterium. RNAcentral describes it as "bacterial SSU rRNA". It matches the Rfam family "Bacterial small subunit ribosomal RNA", at positions 29 to 533 of the family's 1533-position model. The record is from RNAcentral.
ACGAACGCUGGCGGCGUGCCUAAUACAUGCAAGUCGAGCGGACCAAUUAGAAAGCUUGCUUUUUAAUUGGUUAGCGGCGGACGGGUGAGUAACACGUGGGUAACCUGCCCUAUAGACCGGGAUAACUCGCGGAAACGCGUGCUAAUACCGGAUAACACACCGAAGCGCAUGCUUCGGGGUUGAAAGAUGGUUCUGCUAUCACUAUAGGAUGGGCCCGCGGCGCAUUAGCUAGUUGGUGGGGUAACGGCCUACCAAGGCGACGAUGCGUAGCCGACCUGAGAGGGUGAUCGGCCACACUGGGACUGAGACACGGCCCAGACUCCUACGGGAGGCAGCAGUAGGGAAUCUUCCACAAUGGGCGAAAGCCUGAUGGAGCAACGCCGCGUGAGCGAAGAAGGUCUUCGGAUCGUAAAGCUCUGUUGUAAGGGAAGAACAAGCGCAGCAGUCACUGGCUGCGCCCUGACGGUACCUUACUAGAAAGCCACGGCUAACUACGUGCCAGCAGCCGCGGUAAUAUCUUUCUA